Molecule: transfer RNA, 70 nt
Filed under: Ovis aries (sheep)
Lineage: Eukaryota; Metazoa; Chordata; Mammalia; Artiodactyla; Bovidae
Rfam family: tRNA
About the family: Transfer RNA (tRNA) molecules are approximately 80 nucleotides in length. Their secondary structure includes four short double-helical elements and three loops (D, anti-codon, and T loops).
Source: Rfam by way of RNAcentral
UCCUGGUGGCUCAGCAGUAAAGAGUCUGCCUGCAAUGCAGAAGACCUAGGUUCAACCCCUGGGUUAGGAA